Molecule: RNA transcript, 2530 nt
Organism: Musa acuminata AAA Group (dessert banana)
Lineage: Eukaryota; Viridiplantae; Streptophyta; Magnoliopsida; Zingiberales; Musaceae
Gene name: mannose-1-phosphate guanylyltransferase 1-like
Exons: 4
Source: RefSeq, a predicted model, not a curated record
GCUUCCGAUUGAUUCCGGUUUCGCUGGUGUUCUUUUCCGUUAUUUUGGACGGUAUUAUUGGUUUUGAGCUUGGGGUUCUGCAUUUUAUGCGUCCCGGAGGGUAUGCGUAUCGUUCCUACUCGAUCGAUUUUUUGAUGUAACAAUGGUUGAAUAGCCAUGGGGAGCGCCGUGAGGUUGGGAAAAAGGCAUUUUUAAUGUUGGUUUCAACUGGAAAUGGGAUUCGAUUACCGUGGAAAUAGUCUCACGUUACUCCUGUGGUAAACCCUAGGGUUUAAUCCUAGCUCAUCCAAGUAAAUCUUGAAUCUUUUUGGAGUUCGGAGGCCGAUCGAGCGACCCUCUUGUUCUUCUUUGAUCCUGCAAAGCGAGGCUUUCCCUGUUGGUUCCGGUUUCACUGGUGUUCUUGGAUUCUGUUGUGGAUGGUACCCUUUAUUGAGAGUUUGGGGUCCUGGAUUUGAUGGGGUCCUGGAUUGGAUUGGUCGCGGAGUGUAAAGCUCGUUCUUUUACAGCUACUCGAGGUGCAUAUCGUUCCUACUCGAUCGAUUUUUCCUAUGUAACAGGGUUGAAUAGCCAUGGGGAACGAUGUAAGGUUGUAAAAGAAAUCAUCAUUUCUGAUGUUGUUUUCGACUGGAAAUUUUGGUUACCUUAGAAAUUAUUUCACGGUGGUUAGAAAAUUGCUAUUCUCCUGUGGUGGAAAAUAUGAGUUUGGUUUCUUAUUAGAUAGAUAAUUUUGUUUCCUUCUUACAGGACAUAUAUGAUUCUUAUAGUAUCCAUGGUUAGGCUUAUGCACAGUACCUGUUUGUGAUAUUGUUGUUGGUUGAUGACCAUUUCACUAGAAGACAUGCUUUGGAAUUGCUUUUAUAAGGUGUAUAGGUCUGGCAGUGACUUGCUCCUUUAUCAGUGAGUUGGUGAACUCCCCAUGUUAUACAUUGUUAGCCUACGGGGUUGGAUUGUUCUUCCUUAUGGGUGUGCUUGACAUUAUGUUAGACAUUUAAAUCAGAAGUGGUUGAGUCUCAGCUGUUAUACUCUUUCUUGAAACAUGGAAUGCUUUAAUUUCUUUUCCCUUUCUUUGUCAUUGUUGCAAGACAACCACAGGCAGCCAUCUCCUUCAUCUCAUCCCAUCUUCAACCUGGUGAAGAUGCAUUAGUCCAUUACUGGUCAACUUGCACACCUGCCCAUCAGAGCUUGCUUAAAGAUCUUAAAGAUCCUAAAGCCAGAAACACAGUGCUUCCUUGCUUCGUCUUUGAAGCUAACACUCUGAACCAACUCGACUGGUUUGGACAGGGGAAGCAUCUCUGGGUCACCCACCAUGAAGGCACUCGUACUUGUUGGAAGCUUUGAGACCAGCUUGAAGCCAUUGACUCUGAGCAUGCCCAAGUCACUUCUGAUCUUGCACCAGGUUUGUCACUACACAUCUGUCGGGGUGACUGAAGUUAUCUUGGCCAUCAAUUACCAGCCACAGGUGAUGAUGAGCUUUCUGAAAGAGUUUGAAUCGAAGCUUGGGAUCAAGAUAACCUGUUCUCGAGAAACUGAGCCUUUGGGCACUGCAGGUCCACUGGCUCUUGCCAAGGAGAAGCUGCUUGGGGGAGCCUGACAAGCCCUUCUUUCUGCUCAACAGUGACAUCGUAUGCGAGUACCCAUUGAAAGAGGUGCUUAGUUUUCACCAGGCUCAUGGUGGAGAAGCAUCGAUCAUGGUGACCAAGGUUGCCGAACCAUCUAAGUACGGGGUGGUGCUCCUGGAUGAGGAAUCCGGGCAAGUCAAGGAGUUCGUCGAGAAGCCACCGGUGUACGUCGGCAACAGAAUCGAUGCUGGCAUCUACCUGCCGAGCAUCGACGUUCUCAGUCGUGUUUUGCCGCGGCUGAGGUUGUUGGAACGGCAAGUCUUUCCAUCCAUUGCUGCGAGGGAGGCCUGUACGCCAUGGUUCAUGCCGGAUUUCUGGAUGGACAUGGGACAGCCCAAGGACUACCUCGCAGGUCUCAGAUUCUGCCUGGACUACGUGAAACGGCAUUCUCCGUCGGCGCUCGCUGCAGGGCAGUACAUUAUCGGGAAAGUGCUGGUGGGCGGCAGUGCGAAGGUGGGGGAAGAAUAUUCGAUCGGGGGCCGGACGUGGUCGUGGGACCGGGCUGCGUGAUCGAGCCUGGGGUGAGACUGUCGUCGUGCACGCUGAUGAAGGGGGUGAGAGUGAAGAGUUCCGCUCACGUUUCGGGUAGCAUCAUCGGGUGGCACUCGACCAUCGGCGGGUCGGCGCAGGUGAGCCGCAUGACUGUGCUCGGAAAGGACGUGCACGUGAAGGAGACGGUGUUCCUCGAUGGAGUCUCGGUUCUGCCUGAAGCUGGAGAUCGUCGCGGGAACAAAACCAGUGGCAGGUAAGUACUGAAGCUAAGAAUAAUGGUUCUAUUGGAAGGAAAGAUUUGGAUUCACAUAUUGUUCCCUGGAUUUAGAUUUAGAUAUAGAUAUAGAUAGUGUUGGGACAAAAACAAUUUAUCAUCCUACUUUUUGGUGGUAAAAGAAUCGAUGUCGGAUAGUUGGAAA